CCUACGGGAGGCAGCAGUGGGGAAUAUUGCGCAAUGGGCGAAAGCCUGACGCAGCGACGCCGCGUGAGGCAUGAAGGUCUUCGGAUCGUAAACCUCUGUCAGCAGGGAAGAACGGGCACUGUGCUAAUCAGCAGUGAAUUGACGGUACCUGCACAGGAAGCACCGGCUAACUCCGUGCCAGCAGCCGCGGUAAUACGGAGGGUGCGAGCGUUAAUCGGAAUUACUGGGCGUAAAGCGCUCGUAGGCGGUAUGUCAAGUCAAGGGUGAAAUCCCCGCGCUCAACGUGGGAACUUUCUUUGAAACUGGCAGACUUGAGUGUGUGAGAGGAUAGUGGAAUUCCAGGUGUAGGGGUGAAAUCCGUAGAUAUCUGGAGGAACAGCAGUGGCGAAGGCGACUAUCUGGCACAUAACUGACGCUGAGGAGCGAAAGCGUGGGGAGCAAACAGGAUUAGAUACCCUUGUAGUC
RNAcentral lists this ribosomal RNA (465 nucleotides) under uncultured bacterium. RNAcentral's name for it is "partial 16S ribosomal RNA". It matches the Rfam family "Bacterial small subunit ribosomal RNA", at positions 338 to 795 of the family's 1533-position model. The record is from RNAcentral.